UACGGAAGGCAGCAGUGGGGAAUAUUGCACAAUGGGCGCAAGCCUGAUGCAGCCAUGCCGCGUGUAUGAAAAAGGCCUUCGGGUUGUAAAGUACUUUCAGUCGUGAGGAAGGUGUUAAGGUUAAUAACCUUAGCAAUUGACGUUAGCGACAGAAGAAGCACCGGCUAACUCCGUGCCAGCAGCCGCGGUAAUACGGAGGGUGCGAGCGUUAAUCGGAAUUACUGGGCGUAAAGGGCACGCAGGCGGUUAAUUAAGUUGGAUGUGAAAUCCCCGGGCUUAACCUGGGAAUGGCAUUCAAGACUGGUUAGCUAGAGUCUUGUAGAGGGGGGUAGAAUUCCAUGUGUAGCGGUGAAAUGCGUAGAGAUGUGGAGGAAUACCGGUGGCGAAGGCGGCCCCUGGGACAAAGCUGACGCUCAUGCGCGAAAGCGUGGGGAGCAAACGAGGGAUUAGAUACC
RNAcentral lists this ribosomal RNA (455 nucleotides) under uncultured bacterium. RNAcentral describes it as "bacterial SSU rRNA". It matches the Rfam family "Bacterial small subunit ribosomal RNA", at positions 340 to 786 of the family's 1533-position model. The record is from RNAcentral.